AAUCAUUUAACUAUAAAAUAUAAGUAUAUAUUUUGAAAAUAUAUAAAAGAAUAAUUCUAAUGAUUU
RNAcentral lists this transfer RNA (66 nucleotides) under Decolopoda australis. RNAcentral describes it as "tRNA-Ser". The record is from RNAcentral. Lineage: Eukaryota; Metazoa; Arthropoda; Pycnogonida; Pantopoda; Colossendeidae.